UGAGGAAUAUUGGUCAAUGGACGAGAGUCUGAACCAGCCAAGUAGCGUGCAGGAUGACGGCCCUAUGGGUUGUAAACUGCUUUUGUUUGGGAAUAAUCGACAUUACGUGUAAUGUUUUGCAUGUACCAUUCGAAUAAGGACCGGCCAAUUCCGUGCCAGCAGCCGCGGUAAUACGGAAGGUCCAGGCGUUAUCCGGAUUUAUUGGGUUUAAAGGGAGUGUAGGCGGUUGGUUAAGCGUGUUGUGAAAUGUAGAUGCUCAACAUCUGACUUGCAGCUCGAACUGGAUGACUUGAGUACACACAACGUAGGCGGGAUUCAUGGUGUAGCGGUGAAAUGCUUAGAUAUCAUGAAGAACUCCGAUUGCGGAGGCAGGUUACGGGAGUGUUACAGACGCUUAAGCUCGAAGGUGCGGGUAUCGAACAGG
This 424-nucleotide ribosomal RNA is filed under the name Verrucomicrobiota bacterium. Its description in RNAcentral is "Verrucomicrobia bacterium partial 16S ribosomal RNA". It matches the Rfam family "Bacterial small subunit ribosomal RNA", at positions 355 to 776 of the family's 1533-position model. Lineage: Bacteria; Pseudomonadati; Verrucomicrobiota. The record is from RNAcentral.